AACGAACGCUGGCGGCAUGCCUAACACAUGCAAGUCGAACGCGUGUAGCAAUACACGAGUGGCGGACGGGUGAGUAACGCGUGGGAACCUGCCCAAUGGUAGGGAAUAACUGCGGGAAACUGCAGCUAAUACCCUAUGCUCCCUACGGGGGAAAGAUUUUAUCGCCAUUGGAGGGGCCCGCGUCGGAUUAGCUAGUUGGCGGGGUAACGCCCACAAGGCUACGAUCCGUAGCUGGUCNGAGAGGAUGAUCAGCCACACUGGGACUGAGAUACGGCCCAGACUCCUACGGGAGGCAGCAGUGGGGAAUAUUGGACAAUGGGCGCAAGCCUGAUCCAGCGAUGCCGCGUGUGUGAAGAAGGCCUGCGGGUUGUAAAGCA
This 377-nucleotide ribosomal RNA is filed under the name uncultured bacterium. Its description in RNAcentral is "bacterial SSU rRNA". It matches the Rfam family "Bacterial small subunit ribosomal RNA", at positions 29 to 432 of the family's 1533-position model. The record is from RNAcentral.